AGAUGAUGAACUUGUGCCUUUGUGACUUGGUUUCUUGAGACCUGCCUGAUUUCCAUGGUCACAAGAACACAGAGAAAGAUGUGUGGGCUCCUGGGGCUCUUCCUGACACUGUUGAGAGCAAUUCCAGAGGAGAAGCUAUCUAUGGGGUAAUCUUUGGAUGUUAUUCUGAAAAGCCCCAACUUCUUCCUCAUAACAGCUUCUAAGCUUGAGGACCGAGAGUUAUCCUCUAAAAAGGUGUCCCCAAACAAGGAUCCGACGUCUACCUUCUUCCAGUUUGGAGCGUCCAUCCAGCAGCAAGCCACGGUCAUGCUGAAGAUCAUGCAGGAUUAUGACUGGCAUGUUUUCUCCCUGGUAACCACCAUCUUCCCUGGCUACAGGGAAUUCAUCAGCUUCGUCAAGACCACAGUGGACAACAGCUUUGUGGGCUGGGACAUGAAGAAUGUGAUCACACUGGACACUUCCUUUGAGGAUGCAAAGACACAAGUCCAGUUGAAGAAGAUCCACUCUUCUGUCAUCUUGCUCUACUGUUCCAAAGACGAGGCUGUUCUCAUUCUGAGUGAGGCCCGCUCCCUUGGCCUCACCGGGUAUGAUUUCUUCUGGAUUGUCCCCAGCUUGGUCUCUGGGAACACGGAGCUCAUCCCAAAAGAGUUUCCAUCGGGACUCAUUUCUGUCUCCUACGAUGAUUGGGACUACAGCCUGGAGGCGAGAGUGAGGGACGGCAUUGGCAUCCUAACCACCGCUGCGUCUUCUAUGCUGGAGAAGUUCUCCUACAUCCCCGAGGCCAAGGCCAGCUGCUACGGGCAGAUGGAGAGGCCAGAGGUCCCGAUGCACACCUUGCACCCAUUUAUGGUCAAUGUUACAUGGGAUGGCAAAGACUUAUCCUUCACUGAGGAAGGCUACCAGGUGCACCCCAGGCUGGUGGUGAUUGUGCUGAACAAAGACCGGGAAUGGGAAAAGGUGGGCAAGUGGGAGAACCAGACGCUGAGCCUGAGGCACGCCGUGUGGCCCAGGUACAAGUCCUUCUCCGACUGUGAGCCUGAUGACAACCAUCUCAGCAUCGUCACCCUGGAGGAGGCCCCAUUCGUCAUCGUGGAAGACAUAGACCCCCUGACCGAGACGUGUGUGAGGAACACCGUGCCAUGUCGGAAGUUCGUCAAAAUCAACAAUUCAACCAAUGAGGGGAUGAAUGUGAAGAAAUGCUGCAAGGGGUUCUGCAUUGAUAUUCUGAAGAAGCUUUCCAGAACUGUGAAGUUUACUUACGACCUCUACCUGGUGACCAAUGGGAAGCAUGGCAAGAAAGUUAACAAUGUGUGGAAUGGAAUGAUCGGUGAAGUGGUCUAUCAACGGGCAGUCAUGGCGGUUGGCUCGCUCACCAUCAAUGAGGAACGUUCUGAAGUGGUGGACUUCUCUGUGCCCUUUGUGGAAACGGGAAUCAGUGUCAUGGUUUCAAGAAGUAAUGGCACUGUCUCACCUUCUGCUUUUCUAGAACCAUUCAGCGCCUCUGUCUGGGUGAUGAUGUUUGUGAUGCUGCUCAUUGUUUCUGCCAUAGCUGUUUUUGUCUUUGAAUACUUCAGCCCUGUUGGAUACAAUAGAAACUUAGCCAAAGGGAAAGCACCCCAUGGGCCUUCUUUUACAAUUGGAAAAGCUAUAUGGCUUCUUUGGGGCCUGGUGUUCAAUAACUCCGUGCCUGUCCAGAAUCCUAAAGGGACCACCAGCAAGAUCAUGGUAUCCGUAUGGGCCUUCUUCGCUGUCAUAUUCCUGGCUAGCUACACAGCCAAUCUGGCUGCCUUCAUGAUCCAAGAGGAAUUUGUGGACCAAGUGACUGGCCUCAGUGACAAAAAGUUUCAGAGACCUCAUGACUAUUCCCCACCUUUUCGAUUUGGGACAGUGCCUAAUGGAAGCACAGAGAGAAACAUUCGGAAUAACUAUCCCUACAUGCAUCAGUACAUGACCAAAUUUAAUCAGAAGGGAGUAGAGGACGCCUUGGUCAGCCUGAAAACAGGGAAGCUGGACGCUUUCAUCUACGAUGCCGCAGUCUUGAAUUACAAGGCCGGGAGGGAUGAAGGCUGCAAGCUGGUGACCAUCGGGAGUGGGUACAUCUUUGCCACCACCGGUUACGGAAUUGCCCUUCAGAAAGGCUCUCCUUGGAAGAGGCAGAUUGACCUGGCCUUGCUUCAGUUUGUGGGUGAUGGUGAGAUGGAGGAGCUGGAGACCCUGUGGCUCACCGGGAUCUGCCACAACGAGAAGAACGAGGUGAUGAGCAGCCAGCUGGACAUUGACAACAUGGCGGGCGUGUUCUACAUGCUGGCCGCCGCCAUGGCCCUUAGCCUCAUCACCUUCAUCUGGGAGCACCUCUUCUACUGGAAGCUGCGCUUCUGUUUCACGGGCGUGUGCUCCGACCGGCCUGGGUUGCUCUUCUCCAUCAGCAGGGGCAUCUACAGCUGCAUUCAUGGAGUGCACAUUGAAGAAAAGAAGAAGUCUCCAGACUUCAAUCUGACGGGAUCCCAGAGCAACAUGUUAAAACUCCUCCGGUCAGCCAAAAACAUUUCCAACAUGUCCAACAUGAACUCCUCAAGAAUGGACUCACCCAAAAGAGCUGCUGACUUCAUCCAAAGAGGUUCCCUCAUCAUGGACAUGGUUUCAGAUAAGGGGAAUUUGAUGUACUCAGACAACAGGUCCUUUCAGGGGAAAGAGAGCAUUUUUGGAGACAACAUGAACGAACUCCAAACAUUUGUGGCCAACCGGCAGAAGGAUAACCUCAAUAACUAUGUAUUCCAGGGACAACAUCCUCUUACUCUCAAUGAGUCCAACCCUAACACGGUGGAGGUGGCCGUGAGCACAGAAUCCAAAGUGAACUCUAGACCCCGGCAGCUUUGGAAGAAAUCCAUGGAUUCCAUACGCCAGGAUUCACUAUCCCAGAAUCCAGUCUCCCAGAGGGAUGAGGGAACAGCAGAGAAUAGGACCCACUCCCUAAAGAGCCCUAGGUAUCUUCCAGAAGAGAUGGCCCAUUCUGACAUUUCAGAAACGUCAAAUCGGGCCACGUGCCACAGGGAACCUGACAACAGUAAGAACCACAAAACCAAGGACAACUUUAAAAGGUCAGGGGCCUCCAAAUACCCCAAGGACUGUAGUGAGGUCGAGCGCACCUACCUGAAAACCAAAUCAAGCUCCCCCAGAGACAAGAUCUACACUAUUGAUGGUGAGAAGGAGCCUGGUUUCCACUUAGAUCCACCCCAGUUUGUUGAAAACGUGACCCUGCCCGAGAACGUGGACUUCCCAGACCCCUACCAGGAUCACAGUGAAAACUUCCGCAAGGGGGACUCCACGCUGCCAAUGAACCGGAACCCCUUGCAUAAUGAAGAGGGGCCUUCCAACAACGACCAGUAUAAACUCUACUCCAAGCACUUCACCUUGAAAGACAAGGGUUCCCCGCACAGUGAGACCAGCGAGCGAUACCGGCAGAACUCCACACACUGCAGAAGCUGCCUUUCCAACCUGCCCACCUAUUCAGGCCACUUCACCAUGAGGUCCCCCUUCAAGUGCGAUGCCUGCCUGCGGAUGGGGAACCUCUAUGACAUCGAUGAAGACCAGAUGCUUCAGGAGACAGGUAACCCAGCCACCGGGGAGCAGGUCUACCAGCAGGACUGGGCACAGAACAAUGCCCUUCAAUUACAAAAGAACAAGCUAAGGAUUAGCCGUCAGCAUUCCUACGAUAACAUUGUCGACAAACCUAGGGAGCUAGACCUUAGCAGGCCCUCCCGGAGCAUAAGCCUCAAGGACAGGGAACGGCUUCUGGAGGGAAAUUUUUACGGCAGCCUGUUUAGUGUCCCCUCAAGCAAACUCUCGGGGAAAAAAAGCUCCCUUUUCCCCCAAGGUCUGGAGGACAGCAAGAGGAGCAAGUCUCUCUUGCCAGACCACACCUCCGAUAACCCUUUCCUCCACUCCCACAGGGAUGACCAACGCUUGGUUAUUGGGAGAUGCCCCUCGGACCCUUACAAACACUCGUUGCCAUCCCAGGCGGUGAAUGACAGCUAUCUUCGGUCGUCCUUGAGGUCAACGGCAUCGUACUGUUCCAGGGACAGUCGGGGCCACAAUGAUGUGUAUAUUUCGGAGCAUGUUAUGCCUUAUGCUGCAAAUAAGAAUAAUAUGUACUCUACCCCCAGGGUUUUAAAUUCCUGCAGCAAUAGACGCGUGUACAAGAAAAUGCCUAGUAUCGAAUCUGAUGUUUAAAAAUCUUCCAUUAAUGUUUUAUCUAUAGGGAAAUAUACGUAAUGGCCAACGUUCUGGAGGGUAAAUGUUGGAUGUCCAAUAGUGCCCUGCUAAGAGGAAGAAGAUGUAGGGAGGUAUUUUGUUGUUGUUGUUGGCUCUUUUGCACAUGGCUUCAUGCCAUAAUCUUCCACUCAAGGAAUCUUGUGAGGUGUGUGCUGAGCAUGGCAGACACCAGAUAGGUGAGUCCUUAACCAAAAAUAACUAACUACAUAAGGGCAAGUCUCCGGGACAUGCCUACUGGGUAUGUUGGCAAUAAUGAUGCGUUGGAUGCCAAUGGUGAUGUUAUGAUUUCCUAUAUUCCAAAUUCCAUUAAGGUCAGUCCACCAUGUAAUUUUCUCAUCAGAAAUGCCUAAUGGUUUCUCUAAUACAGAAUAAGCAAUAUGGUAUGCAUGUAAACCUGACACAGACAAAAUAAAAA
This 4687-nucleotide small RNA is filed under the name Pongo abelii (Sumatran orangutan). Its description in RNAcentral is "processed transcript". The record is from RNAcentral. Lineage: Eukaryota; Metazoa; Chordata; Mammalia; Primates; Hominidae.